Molecule: long non-coding RNA, 20032 nt
Filed under: Zea mays
Lineage: Eukaryota; Viridiplantae; Streptophyta; Magnoliopsida; Poales; Poaceae
Description: long non-coding RNA (ZMAY_LNC003898)
Source: RNAcentral
UCAAAGGGAAACUUGCACCUCGCUAUGUUGGUCCAUUUCCAGUGUUUGAACGUUGUGGACAUGUGGCUUAUAAGGUGCAAUUGCCAGAGAAUCUUUCAACAGUGCAUAACGUGUUUCACGUAUCUCAGUUGAAGAAAUGUCUUCGAGUCCCCGAACAAGUAGUUGAGGUUUCAGAUGUUAACCUUGAACCUGAUCUAACUUACUUUGAGUAUCCUAUUCGGGUUCUGGAUCAAAAAGAUCGGGUCACACGAAGAAAGAUUAUCAAGUUCUACAAAAUACAAUGGAACCAACACUCCGAAGAUGAGGCUACCUGAGAAUCAGAAGACUAUCUUAUGGAGCAUUUUCCUCAGUUUUUAGAUUCCUGUAAAUAUUAAGCCUUGUGUAUUUUGUCUUUGAUGUAAACCCACAGGGGCACACCCCUGCCUUGUAAGAAUAAAGGUAGAAUAAGAUCGUGACGCGUUUCCUUUUCCAUUACUUAGCCUGGAGUUUUAAUCUCGGGACGAGAUUCCUUUUUAGGGAGGAAGGAUGUAACACCCCUGGUGUUACGAGAACUAAAAUUUUGGCAUCUCAUCAUAUGCAUUAGCAUCAUCUAGCUUGAUACACCUAGAAUGCAUUUUAAUAGGUCCAAAAUUUCAAUUGAAACCAUAAACUAGCCCGAAAAGUGGAAUUUAAAAUCUAAUGAGAAGUUGCCAAAGGUCCAUAUACCAAAGUGGUAAAGCUUGGAAAGUUGAACAACUUUCAUGUGUGAAGAUGUCCAAGUUUUAUACGAAAACUUGGAGUAAACUGCAAAAAUUCAGUUUUGGUGCAAUUUGGAAUUUGCUGAAAAUAAUAUCAACUAGCUGUUUUUGGGCCUUUACAACUUUUGAUCUAUAAACAGUUUGAAGGUGGACAAUGUAACAAAGUUGUAGAGCUACACUAGGGGUACAAAUUUUCUUAGGCAACCUGUCCCUAAAAUCAUAUGCAACUUGGAGUAAAAGUGGCUCAAAGUUGAGCUGUUUGAAUUCUGAGUUUUCAGAUUUUGAAUAAUAGCCCAAGUCUGAAAUCAGUAUUUUAUUGCUUAGUUUGGAGCUAUGUUGUGAUUGAUCUAUAUGGUUUUCGACUGAAAUUCCUGUAGCAAGUUUGAAGACCAUAUGUUGGUGUGCAAGUUUGGUCAAAGGUCAUACCCCUAAAGCUACUUGGAACUUGGAGGAAAACUGGUCCAAAUUGGAGCUGUUUGACUUGUGAUUUCUGUACUUUGAUUCAGAAAUUGAAGUGCAGUUUCAGCAUUUUUAGCAAACUUCAGAUCUCUGUUGUGAUAAACUUCUGAUGUUAUGGCCUGCACUAUCUAGAGAAAAGUGUUAGAGGGUAAUAUGGUGAGUAAUUUUCGUUGAGGUGGAUCCCCCUGAACUAGCCUAGAAAUAGGAGAAAAUAGUGUCUAAAAACAUGCUGUCGGACUCCAGAUUUCAGACUUAGUUCAGUUGGCAGAAACUGAAUUUCAGUGAGUUUUGCUCAAGUUUGGAGCUUUCUUGUGGCUAAUUUUUGGAGUUAUAUACUAUGGUUUCUAUAGUAAAGUGGAAGACCAUACAACAGUGAAUAAGUUUUCUUAAGUAAGUUUGAUUUUGUGCUUCAAACAAAUUGGAGUAAACUGUGUCCAAAAUCUCCCUGUCAGGUGUUGAGUUCAGUUUGGUUUCAGUUGGCUGAAUCUGAAUUUUAGCGUUUCCAACCCACUUUGGAUCACUAUAACUUUUGAUCCAUGAGCCUUUGGUCUAUGGUUCCUGCACCAAAUUUGUAGAGCUAUAUUUUGUCAACAAGUUUUGUUAACGGAGAUCUCCCUGUUACCACUGAAAUUUGUGAGUAAAUUGAGCUCAAAGUUGCUCUGACAGAAAGAUGUGUACUGAAUUUGGUUCAGAUAGCUGAAUCUGAAUUUCUGUAUUUUCACCCCACUUUGAAGCACAAUAACUCUUGGUCUAUGAUUAUUUGACCUAGGUUUGCUGCAGCAGGUUUGUAGAGGUAUGUUUUGUGAGCAAAUUUUGUUAACUAAGGUUAGCCUGUUAUUACUGAAAAUUGGGAGAAAUUUUGCUCCAAAGUGAUCCUGUCAGGUUCAUGUGUUCGGGUAGCUGAAACAGAAAAUUCAGGGUUGGGCUUCUGUAACUGAAGAUUUUUUUUCUCUGUUGGCUGGACUUCACUAGAGUGCUCGAGUUGUAACAGAGAUAGAGUGUAUGACCAAGGAUUUAGUAACCUCAUCACUACUGCGAAAUAUUUAGUUUUGGACUGUUGUAUGGCCUGUGAGCAGUAAAAAUCUCAUCUGCUAGCUCUGUGGUGGAGUGCACUGGACAACAAAAUUCUGAAAGUUUUACCCAUGCAGAUAAUGUCAAGUUGGAUUUAUGUGAGCCUGUCCUAGGUGGAGUCCUUAUCUGCCUUCUAUUGUUUAUGUAAAAUGAACCAAGUUAAGUGUUUUGGCUGCACCCAUGAACAUGUGUGGCACUGUGAUUGUGUGCCACGUGUGGAGGCCAUGCAGUGCUAGCACCAUAUAGACCACUCUCCACUGCCUGCGUGGUGUGCUCAUGGCUGUUUGCUCCCUCGUUCAGCCACCUUAGGGUUUGGUUUUGUGAAGUUUUUCCCCUACUCUUGAGCUCCAAAUUUGUGGUCAUCGUGUGAGUGAUGUGGCAGUGUUCAGGCCUAGGUAACCUCCCUUUCAAACCCCCAAAUCUGAUUUGCUCUUGUGCUGUGUGCCAGCUCCCUAGUUGGUGACCACGCCCACUAAAUUCCCCACAUCGCCGUGGCCAGGCUUUCUCGUGGAGUUUUUCACCCGUGUGGUGAAUGUUCCGUGCUCUGCAAAGGUUAGUGAAGCUCACCCGGUUGGAAUCUCUAGCUCUAUUGUUGUGUGUUGCUUGGAACGGGGUCGCGACGCCUCGGUUCAGCGCCGGGGACAGUCUCCACGCCGACCCCUCAGCUCACGUCAUCUCCGCUCGGAUUCUUGCAUGCACCAUGGCCAUGGUAGAUCAGUGAUACUCUCCACGCCUUUGAUUGGAAUUCUACCACAUGGUGGCCGCGAGAUCGAGCUCGUCUGGCUGCGUUUUCCGCCAUCACCGUCGGUGACCGGGUUGUGGUGUCCUCGCAGUGAGUUCGCGCCCAUGCCCGGGUCCGCCAUGGUUCGGGGGUCGCGGGGGUGCUGUCGUCGUCGAUUACGUUGCACCACCCAGAUUAAUCAAACGUCGGUUCGCCGGAGCUCGCGCAGCCAAGUCGGGGUCGAGACUUUGUAAAAGGAGAGAAGUUGAGGGGUUUGGGUGAAGUGGUCAGUGAGAGGAGCCAAUAGUGGCAAGGAUGUGUGUUGGAUUUUUCUGAGCGGCUAGGGUCUUUGCGCAAAAGAGCAGGAGCGGACGAGGGCUCCCAGCCGCAGACCGACUCUGCCCGAUGCGGGACCACAGUGGGCUAGUUCCAGCACAUAAAGAAAUGGUUUUUCCUUAUUUAUUUAGCUGAGAGCUUGUAAAUUAGGCCAAAAAUUGUACAAAAAUGAUAAAAUUGUAAGACCAGUUUUAUGAGGUGUGUAAAAUCAUGUACUUUGUAGUAGAAAUAAAUUUAGGAGUUUUACAGCAGAUACCAAUUUUUUGGGGAACCUUGUCUUGACUAGCUGAGCACUUGGUCCAAGUUUGAAAUUGUUUGGAAGAAAUUUGCUCAGCAAACAGAUUGUUGCCCAAAAAGAAAAAAGAUUUUAACCUCGGGUAAUUAGGAAAUGAAGUUGCUUAAGAAAGUUUGAGCUUUUGGGUGAAGUUUAAGAUGGGUUAGUCCCCUGGUGAAUUGUUAGUUAAUGAUGUCUUCUAGUGCCCUUGGUAAUCCUCUAGUGUUUUGGCUAGUUUUAUGCACCUUGUAUUAAAGUGUACUCAGGAUGGAUUGUUUGUUACCUUCUUUAUGAAAUGCAUUUACGUACCACAACAAACAUUCAUCUACAUGUAAUUGACUUGUAGAACACCUAGAAGAAGUGGUGUCUGCAGAAGGAGUUCACUUCAGUGCUUGCUGAUCGAGUGGUGGAGUUUCAUCUAACUUUUUACCAGAGUAGAAGGAUUUUAGAUCUUCUCCUGCAAUAAGGCAAGCCCCGGUGCAUUUGCCACCUUCCUUGUAUUACAAAAUUUUAUCACUUAUAUGCUGCAUUAGGUAAUAGGAGUUGAAUGAUUAAACACUUGAUGCAUUACCAUCCUUGAAAGAUUGAUUAUCAUACCUUGUUACCUGUUUUAUAAAAACUAGUAAUGCUUAGUUAUGCUUAUAGAUUAAGAAAAAUGUUUUUAAUCUAUGACCAUGAUUUUUAAAAAGAAAAAGGGCUUGGGAUGAUGGAGACAUCCUCCGCGGGGAUGAAUUCAUCAUUCAAGCAGGAUACCUCUGCUAGGUAUCAAACUUUGAGAAUUUGUUUAAAAUGAGACCAGACGUUGAGUUGGACAGGUCGCCCGUCUGUGUCAAUCAAGGACCGUACCGAUUGUAGGCCUGUUGAUCUAAGACCUUUUAACUGGCCACAUACCUCGUCAUGGGUAAGCCUGAACCCGGCUACUCCAUAUGUGAAAAGACAAUCGCGAACUGGGAGUGGAGAGAUGGCGGGAGUGGCGUGUACCCACCUGGCACGUGGCUGGAUGGUGGAGUACCGUACUCUCGGGUGGCGCGGACCGGUUCACGUAGUGGAGGACCCGUGGGAAUGGUAGACAUAUGCAAGGGUUAAGUGCUACAUAUGUCGUGUGGCUGGAGAUCCCCAGCUGGGUAUUAAUCGAUUCGAAUCGCCGUUACUUCUCGGUCAUGAAGACUGGAUCACUGCUCUGCAUUGUAGAUAACAAGUAUAACAGAGUUUUGGUUAAAAGCAAUCUAGUAUAGGCCAAGUGAAUGAUCUAGAUUAGGAAAAUCUAGAGACAAGUUAGUAGAUUCAGGUAAUAACCUAACUUGUGAAAUAAAACCUGGCUUAAGGAUCCAUUAUUAGUAAGCUUUUAUGCAAAAAGGAGUCAUUGAUAAUUGAUGAGCUUUUCCCUUGAUUCCCCAAAAGCUAGCAUGCCCUUGAGAGUCUUUUACUUAGUCGGGUAAGUCUUGCUGAGUAAUUGCCUACUCAGGGUUUUAUUCCCUAUGUUGUUGCAGGAAAGAUUUUUGAUGCCUUGGCUUUAUUAGUUGCUUCUUAUGGAGGUCUUGAAGCUUAGAUUACUUAUGUGUAUCUUUUAUGGAAAGGCUUCACCUUUCCAGGUAUUGUAGUUAAGUUAUGCACUCUGAAGACUAUCAGGACUUGUAACAAUUUCAACCCCUUUUAUGUUGUAAAACUUGAGUUCUGGUAUUUUGUAAAAGUCUUCCGCUCUAUCUCCAAUGUGUGUGUAUCAAAUGUGAUUACUGUAAUAUGCUGUUAUGUGGGAGAUCCUUGGGAUGAUGAGUUCAAGUUGAUGAACUCGAUAGCCUUGUUAAGUUACCCAGUACACGUGCAUAGCAAUCUGAUACCAUUAAGGCAAGGAUUAGUGUAUGUGGGCCUGAUAACUUGGGAGGGCUGUCACAGCAUGGUAUCGGAGGGAUCCCCCAUUAGCAUAGAUAUUAAAGUAAUCCUUUGACAAACUUCAAAAUGAUUUUAAGUCCAAAUUAUUUUGGAAAACUUAAUAAUGGAUGAGCAAAUCCUGAUAGUAGCAGUGCAAAUAGUUGGUGUUUAUGACUAAGGACUAUAAGGUGACUUAGAUUAAGAUGCUAACCACUAACCCACAACUUGGGAGAAAUUUUUUUGCAGGUACACUAACUAAACACUAGGAAAGUGCGACUAGUGAUCAAUGACGGAGUGAGUAGGUAUGCCACCGCCAUAGAACGUGAUAGCCACUAUACGUUGGCAAGAUGUGUGAGGACGAAUAGGUCGAGCAUGCAUCAUGACAUACAACUUUAAGUUAGACCCCCUGUGUAUUCGUUUAGUGCGUGUUUCAUCCAUCCUGUCCAUGCUACCUACCUUUACUUUUCCAUGCUACCUUUCCUAUUCGGGAAGACUGGAAGCUAAGUUUCAUUUUGUUGCCAGAAUGAGGACUCGUUCUGGAAAGGAUCAUGGUGCUGGUGCUUCCCAGAGGAAUAUCGAUGCCCCCAAUCCAUCUCCGACAUCAGCUUUGGAUGAUGUUGUGGCUCAGCUUGUGAAUGUGAGCACUGUUCUUCAGCAAAUAGCCUAGCCUACAACAUCAACUCAGUAUGGUCGUCAUGAUUCUAAUGCUGCUAUCCUCUAUAAAGAGUUUCUCAGCAUGCAACCACCAGUGUUCACUAGAGCGGAAGAUCCAUUGGAGGCAGAAGAUUGGCUUCGUACCAUUGAGCAGAAGUUGGGACUCAUCUGUUGUGAUGACAUUCAGAAAACUCAGUGUGCAGCACAACAACUCCAGGGUCAAGCUGGGGCCUGGUGGGCUGAAUACUUUGCACUGCAGCAAGAGGGACAUCAAAUUUCUUGGGCUGAGUUCCGUGAGGUAUUUCGGACGCAUUAUAUUCCAAAAGCCCUGAUAGAGAUCAAAUUCAAUGAGUUCUUAGAUUUGAAGCAAGGCGAAGAAGAGAGUGUAAUGGAAUAUUUUGAGAGGUUCACUCGCCUAUCUCAGUACGUCUUGGAUUUUGUAAAUACCAAUGAGAAGAAAAAGUUCUACUUCCUACGUGGCCUCAACAAGAAGCUUCAGGGCUUGAUGGCAACCAGUUUGGCUGAAAGAUAUAAUGAGGUGGUCAGUCAGGCUGUUUUGGGGGAUAACAAGAUUCUACUUCAUCAGGAGUCUAAAAGAAAGAAAAUUGCGGAAGAAUCCUCUAGUAAAAUCAAACUGAUAGUCGCCUAGAGGGGGGGGUGAAUAGGGCGAAACUGAAAUUUACAAAUAUAAACACAACUACAAGUCGGGGUUAGUGUUAGUAAUAAAGAAACGAGUCCGCGAGAGAGGACGGAAAACAAAUCCCAAGCGAAUAAGCAAGUGAGACACGGAGAUUUGUUUUACCGAGGUUCGGUUCUUGCAAACCUACUCCCCGUUGAGGAGGCCACAAAAGGCCGGGUCUCUUUCAACCCUUCCCUCUCUCAAACGAUCCCUCGGACCGAGUGAGCUUUCUCUUCUCAAUUACUUGGAACACAAAGUUCCCACAAGGACCACCACAAGUUUGGUGUCUCUUGCCUCAAUUACAAGUGAGUUUGAUUGCGAUGAAAGAAUCAAGAAAGCACGAUUGAAAAAGGCCAAGCGACAAGAGCGACAAAUAACACACGGAUCACUUUCUCUCUCAAGCCACUAAUCACUAAUGAUCUCUUUUCUCAAUUGUGAAACUUGGAGAGAUGGAGGCUUUGAAUGUGUCUUGGAAUGGAUUGCUAGCUCUUGUAUUGAAUGUUGAAGGUUGGAAUGCUUGGAUGAAGUGAAUGGAGGUGGUUGGGGUUGUAUUUAUAGCCACCAACCACUUCCUAGCCGUUGGGCCAUUCUGCUGAGCGCGGACGGUCCGCCCUCCUGGUGCGGACGGUCCGCCCCUAUAGAUCAACGGCUGAAAAUGCAACGGUCAGCAGUAACGGCUAUAUCAACGGCUAUAUUGCAUUUAAUGCGUUGUCAGAUGUCAGACAGAGCCAGUCGCGGACGGUCCGGUCGUGCACCCCGGACGGUCCGCGAGGCCCCUUAUAAUUCAUUUCUCCGAACCCGUUACCUUCGGGUUUUUCGGUUUCUUACCGACCGGACGGUCCGCGCCUAAGGUCGGACGGUCCGCGCGAGGGCUCGGACGGUUCUUUGCUUUUCCUUCGGACAGUCCGUAAUGGAAACUUGUAUUUUUGCAUUGGUUCUGUCCGAGAGUCAUUCUAGUGUUGCGGACGGUCCGCCGCAAGGGCCCGGACGGUCCGCGCUUGGCCUGUUUUUCCAAGAAGCUUCUCCUGUCCGGAAUAAUCUACGGUAUUCCGGACAGUCGAUUUAGCAUAGUUAUAGAUGAACUUUUGGCACCUGUAAAACAUAUAAUCUAGAGCAAACUAGUUAGUCCAAUUGUUUGUGUUGGGCGAUUCAACCACCAAAACUAUUUAGGAACUAGGUGUAAGCCUAAUUCCCUUUCAAUCUCCCCCUUUUUGGUGAUUGAUGCCAACACAAACCAAAGCAAAUAUGGAAGUGCAUAAUUGAACUAGUUUGUAUAAUGUAGGUGUAAAGGUUGCUUGGAAUUUAGCUAAUAAACACUUACAAGAUAUGCAUGGAUUGUUUCUUCAUUUUUAAUAUUUUGGACCACGCUUGCACCAUAUGUUUUGUUUUUGCAAAUUCUUUUUGUAAAUCCAUUUCAAAGAUCUUUUGCAAAUAGUCAAAGGUAUAUGAAUAAGAGUUUGCAAAGCAUUUUCAAGAUUUGAAAUUGUCUCCCCCUAUUUCAAAUGCUUUUCCUUUGACUAAACAAAACUCCCCCUAAAAGAGAUCCACCUCUUAGUGUUCAAGAGGGUUUUGAUAUACCAUUUUUGAAAUACUACUUUCUCCCCCUUUUGAACACAAUAGGAUAUCAAUUGAAAAAUAUUCAACACUUAAGUUUUUUUGAAAUUGGUGGUGGUGCGGUCCUAUUGGUGGUGGUGCGGUCCUUUUGCUUUGGGCUCUUACUUUCUCCCCCUUUGGCAUGAAUCGCCAAAAACGGAAGCAUUAGAGCCCUUGAAGUGUUUCCUUCCCCUUGGGUCAUAAAUAAAUGAGUUAAGAUUAUACCAAAGACGAAGUCCUUUUGCUUGGUGCUCAUGAUUUCUUCCCCUAGAAUGGAGAGUUGCUUGGAGCGACGGCGAAGGAUGAGUUACGUAGUGGAAGCCUUUGUCUUUGCCGAAGACUCCGAUUCCCUUUCAAUACACUUAUGACUUGGUUUGAGAUAGACUUGAAAACACAUUAGUCAUAGCAUAUAAAGAGAUAUGAUCAAAGAUAUAUAAAUGAGUUAUGUGUGCAAUCUAACAAAAGAAAUUGCGCGAAUCAAGAAUAUUGAGCUCAUGCCUAAGUUUGUUAAAAGAUUGUUCAUCAAGAGGCUUGGUAAAGAUAUCGGCUAAUUGAUCUUUAGUGUUAAUGUAAGAAAUCUCGAUAUCUCCCUUUUGUUGGUGAUCCCUAAGAAAAUGAUACCGAAUGGCUAUGUGUUUAGUGCGGCUAUGCUCGACGGGAUUGUCGGCCAUUUUGAUUGCACUCUCAUUGUCACAUAGCAAAGGGACUUUGGUUAAUUUGUAACCGUAGUCCCGCAGGGUUUGCCUCAUCCAAAGCAAUUGCGCGCAACAAUGACCUGCGGCAAUAUACUCGGCUUCGGCGGUGGAAAGAGCGACCGAAUUUUGCUUCUUUGAAGCCCAAGACACCAAGGAUCUUCCCAAGAACUGGCAAGUCCCCGAUGUGCUCUUCCUAUUGAUUUUGCACCCCGCCCAAUCGGCAUCCGAAUAACCAAUUAAAUCGAAUGUGGAUCCCCUAGGAUACCAAAGCCCAAACUUAGGAGUAUAAGCCAAAUAUCUCAAGAUUCGUUUUACGGCCGUAAGGUGAGCUUCCUUAGGGUCGGCUUGGAAUCUUGCACACAUGCAUACAGAAAGCAUAAUAUCCGGUCGAGAUGCACAUAAAUAGAGUAAAGAACCUAUCAUCGACCGGUAUACCUUUUGAUCUACGGACUUACCUCCGGUGUCGAGGUCGAGAUGCCCAUUAGUUCCCAUGGGUGUCUUGAUGGGUUUGGCAUCCUUCAUCCCAAACUUGGUUAGAAUGUCUUGAGUGUACUUUGUUUGGCUGAUGAAGGUGCCCUCUUGGAGUUGCUUUACUUGGAAUCCUAAGAAAUACUUCAACUCCCCCAUCAUAGACAUCUCGAAUUUCUGUGUCAUGAUCCUACUAAACUCUUCACAUGUAGACUCGUUAGUAGACCCAAAUAUAAUAUCAUCAACAUAAAUUUGGCAUACAAACAAGUCAUUUUCAAGAGUUUUAGUAAAGAGUGUAGGAUCGGCUUUACCGACUUUGAAUCCAUUUGCAAUAAGAAAAUCUCUAAGGCAUUCAUACCAUGCUCUUGGGGCUUGCUUGAGCCCAUAAAGCGCCUUAGAGAGCUUAUAGACAUGGUUAGGAUACUCACUGUCUUCAAAGCCGGGAGGUUGCUCAACAUAGACCUCUUCCUUGAUUGGUCCAUUGAGGAAGGCACUUUUCACAUCCAUUUGAUAAAGCUUAAAGCCAUGGUAAGUAGCAUAGGCUAAUAAUAUGCGAAUUGAUUCAAGCCUAGCUACGGGUGCAUAGGUUUCACCGAAAUCCAAACCUUCGACUUGGGAGUAUCCCUUGGCCACAAGUCGAGCUUUGUUCCUAGUCACCACACCAUGCUCGUCUUGCUUGUUGCGGAAGACCCAUUUGGUUCCUACAACAUUUUGAUUAGGACGUGGAACUAAAUGCCAUACGUCAUUUCUGGUGAAGUUGUUGAGCUCCUCUUGCAUCGCCACCACCCAAUCCGAAUCUUGGAGUGCUUCCUCUAUCCUGUGUGGCUCAAUAGAGGAAACAAACGAGUAAUGUUCACAAAAAUGUGCAACCCGAGAUCUUGUAGUUACCCCCUUAUGAAUGUCGCCGAGGAUGGUGUCGACGGGGUGAUCUCGUUGGAUUGCUUGGUGGAUUCUUGGGUGUGGCGGCCUUUGUUCUUCAUCCUCAUUAUCUUCCUUAUUUGCAUCUCCCCCUUGAUCAUUGCCAUCAUCUUGAGGUGGCUCAUUUGAUUGAUCUUCUUCUUCAUCAACUUGAGCUUCAUCCUCAUUUUGAGUUGGUGGAGAUGCUUGCAUGGAGGAGGAUGGUUGAUCUUGUGCAAUUGGAGGCUCUUCGGAUUCCUUAGGACACACAUCCCCAAUGGACAUGUUCCUUAGCGCGAUGCAUGGAGCCUCUUCUUCACCUAUCUCAUCAAGAUCAACUUGCUCUACUUGAGAGCCGUUAGUUUCAUCAAACACAACGUCACAAGAGACUUCAACUAGUCCAGUGGACUUGUUAAAGACCCUAUAUGCCCUUGUGUUUGAGUCAUAACCAAGUAAAAAGCCUUCUACAGUUUUAGGAGCAAAUUUAGAUUUUCUACCUCUUUUAAUAAGAAUGAAGCAUUUGCUACCAAAAACUCUAAAAUAUGAAAUGUUGGGCUUUUUACCGGUUAGGAGUUCAUAUGAUGUCUUCUUGAGGAUUCGGUGAAGAUAUAACCGGUUGAUGGCGUAGCAGGCUGUGUUGACCGCCUCGGCCCAAAACCGGUCCGGUGUCUUGUACUCAUCAAGCAUGGUUCUUGCCAUGUCCAAUAGAGUUCGAUUCUUCCUCUCCACUACACCGUUUUGUUGUGGCGUGUAGGGAGAAGAGAACUCAUGCUUGAUGCCCUCCUCCUCAAGGAAGCUUUCAAUUUGAGAGUUCUUGAACUCCGUCCCAUUGUCGCUUCUUAUUUUCUUGAUCCUUAAGCCGAACUCAUUUUGAGCCCGUCUCAAGAAUCCUUUUAAAGUUUCUUGGGUUUGAGAUUUUUCCUGUAAAAAGAAUACCCAAGUGAAGCGAGAAUAAUCAUCCACAAUUACAAGACAAUACUUACUACCGCCGAUGCUUAUGUAAGCGAUCGGGCCGAAUAAAUCCAUGUGUAGUAGCUCCAGCGGCCUGUCGGUAGUCAUGACAUUUUUGUGUGGAUGAUGGAUGCCAACUUGCUUCCCGGCUUGGCAUGCGCUACAAAUCCUGUCUUUCUCAAAAUGAAUAUUGGUUAGUCCCAAAAUGUGUUCUCCCUUUAGAAGCUUGUGAAGAUUCUUCAUUCCAACAUGGGCUAGUCGGCGGUGCCAAAGCCAACCCAAGUUAGUCUUAGCAACUAAGCAAGUGUCGAGUUCAGCUCUUUCAAAAUCUACCAAGUAUAGCUGACCCUCUAACACUCCCUUAAAAGCUAUUGAAUCGUCACUUCUUCUAAAGACAGUAACACCAUUAUCAGUAAAAAGACAGUUGUAGCCCAUUUUACAUAAUUGGGAUACGGAAAGCAAAUUGUAAUCUAAAGAAUCAACGAGAAAAACAUUGGAAAUAGAAUGGUCAGGAGAUAUAGCAAUUUUACCCAAUCCUUUGACCAAACCUUGAUUUCCAUCCCCGAAUGUGAUAGCUCGUUGGGGAUCUUGGUUUUUCUCAUAUGAGGAGAACAUCCUUUUCUCCCCGGUCAUAUGGUUUGUGCACCCACUGUCGAGUAUCCAACUUGAGCCCCCGGAUGCAUAAACCUACAAAACAAGUUUAGUUCUUUGUUUUAGGUACCCAAACGGUUUUGGGUCCUUUGGCAUUAGAAAUGAGAACUUUGGGUACCCAAACACAAGUCUUGGAACCCUUGUGCUUGCCCCCAACAAAUUUGGCAACUAUCUUGCCGGAUUUGCUAGUAAGCACAUAAGAUGCAUCAAAAGUUUUAAAUGAAAUGGCAUGAUCAUUUGAUGCAUUAGGAGUUUUCUUUCUAGGCAACUUGGCACGGGUUGGUUGCCUAGAGCUAGAUGUCUCACCCUUAUAUAUAAAAGCAUGGUUAGGGCCAGAGUGAGACUUCCUAGAGUGAAUUCUCCUAAUUUUGCUCUCGGGAUAACCGGCAGGGUACAAAAUGUAACCCUCGUUAUCCUGAGGCAUGGGAGCCUUGCCCUUAACAAAGUUAGACAAAUUUUUAGGUGUGGCAUUAAGUUUGACAUUGUCUCCCCUUUGGAAGCCAAUGCCAUCCUUGAUGCCAGGGCGUCUCCCAUUAUAGAGCAUGCUUCUAGCCAAUUUAAAUUUUUCAUUUUCUAAGUCAUGCUCUCUAAUCUUAGCAUUUAGUUGAGCUAUGUGAUCAUUUUGUUUUUUAAUUAAGGCUAGGUGAUCAUGGAUAGCAUCAACAUUAAUAUCUCUACAUCUAGUACAAAUGGAAAUAUGCUCAACAUUAGAUGUAGAGGGUUUGCAAGAUUUUAGUUCAACAACCUUAGCAUGCAACAUAUCAUUUUUAGUUCUAAGGUCGGAAAUAGUAGCAUUGCAAACAUCAAAAUCCUUAGCCUUAGCAAUUAGUUUCUCAUUCUCAUUUCUAAGGCUAGCAAUGGAAACGUUUAACUCAUCAAUCCUAGCAAGCAAAUCAACAUUAUCAUUUCUAGGAUCAAUGCAAACAUGAGAAUCUACCUUAGCAAUUAAUUUAGCAUUUUCAUUUCUAAGGUUGGCAAUAGUGUCAUGGCACAUGCUUACUUCACUAGAUAAUUUGUUACAUUUUUCUACUUCUAGAGCAUAAGCAUUUUUAACCUUAACAUGUUUCUUAUUCUCUUUAAUUAGAAAGUUCUCUUGGGAGUCCAAGAGAUCAUCCUUUUCAUGGAUGGCACUAAUUAGUUCAUUUAAUUUUUCCUUUUGUUCCAUGUUAAGGUUAGCAAAAAGAAUACGUAAGUUAUCCUCCUCAUUUUUAUUAUCAUCCUCAUCACUAGAUGUUUCAUAUUUAGUGGAGGACCUUGAUUUUACCUUCUUUUUGCCGUCCUUGGCCAUGAGACACUUGUGGCCGACGUUGGGGAAGAGAAGGCCCUUGGUGACGGCGAUGUUGGCGGCGUCCUCGUCGGAGGAGGAGUAGCUUGAGCUUUCGUCGGAGUCCCACUCCCGACAAACAUGGGCAUCGCCGCCCUUCUUCUUGUAAUACUUCUUCUUCUCCUUUCUUCUUCCCUUCUUGUCGUCGCCCCUGUCACUGUCACUAGACAUAGGACAUUUUGCAAUAAAGUGACCGGGCUUACCACACUUGUAGCAAACCUUCUUGGAACGGGGUUUGUAGUCCUUCCCCUUCCGUUGCUUGAGAAUUUGCCGAAAGCUUUUGAUGAUUAGGGCCAUCUCCUCGUUGUCGAGCUUGGAGGCGUCAAUUGGUUGUCUACUUGGUGUAGACUCCUCCUUCUUCUCUUCCGUUGCCUUGAAGGCCACAGGUUGCGCCUCGGAGGUGGAAGGCUCGUCAAGCUCGUUGAUCUUCUUGGAGCCCUUAAUCAUGCAUUCAAAACUCACAAAAUUCCCGAUAACUUCCUCGGGAGUCAUUAGUGGAUAUCUAGGAUUCCCACGAAUUAAUUGUACUUGAGUGGGGUUAAGGAAAAUAAGAGCUCUUAGAAUAACCUUAACCACUUCGUGGUCAUCCCAUUUUGUGCUCCCGAGGUUGCGCACUUGGUUCACCAAGGUCUUGAGCCGGUUGUACAUGUCUUGUGGCUCCUCCCCUUGGCGAAGACGGAAGCGACCGAGCUCCCCCUCGAUCGUUUCCCGCUUGGUGAUCUUGGUGAGUUCAUCACCCUCGUGCGCCGUCUUGAGUAGGUCCCAAAUUUCCUUGGCGUUCUUCAAUCCUUGUACUUUGUUGUAUUCCUCCUUGCUUAGGGAGGCAAGGAGGAUGGUUGCGGCUUGGGAGUUGAAGUGCUCGAUUUGGGCCACUUCGUCCGUGUCAUAGUCCUCAUCCCCUAUUGAUGGUACCUGUACACCAUACUCAACAACAUCCCAUAUUCUUUUGUGGAGAGAGGUUAGAUGAAAUCGCAUCAAAUUACUCCACAUAGCAUAAUCCUCACCAUUAAAAGUUGGUGGUUUGCCUAAUGGGACGGAAAGUAAAGGUGUAUGUUUAGGAAUGCGAGGGUAGCGUAGGGGGAUCUUACUAUACUUCUUGCGCUCUUGGCGCUUAGAAGUGACGGAGGGCGCAUCGGAGUCGGAGGUCGAUGUUGAUGAAGUGUCGGUCUCGUAGUAGACCACCUUCCUCAUCCUCUUGUGCUUGUCGCCUUUCCGAUGCAGCUUGUGGGAAGAAGAUUUUUCCUUCUUCUCUUUGUGGUGAGAAGAAGACUUCUUCUCCUUCCCUUUGUUGGAGGAGCUCUUCUUCUUCUCCCUCCUUUUGGUGCGGGACUCUUCCGAUGAAGUGCUCCCGUAGCUUGUAGUGGGCUUUUCGCCGGUCUCCAUCUCCUUCUUGGCGUGAUCUCCCGACAUCACUUCGAGCGGUUAGGCUCUAAUGAAGCACCGGGCUCUGAUACCAAUUGAUAGUCGCCUAGAGGGGGGGGUGAAUAGGGCGAAACUGAAAUUUACAAAUAUAAACACAACUACAAGUCGGGGUUAGUGUUAGUAAUAAAGAAACGAGUCCGCGAGAGAGGACGGAAAACAAAUCCCAAGCGAAUAAGCAAGUGAGACACGGAGAUUUGUUUUACCGAGGUUCGGUUCUUGCAAACCUACUCCCCGUUGAGGAGGCCACAAAAGGCCGGGUCUCUUUCAACCCUUCCCUCUCUCAAACGAUCCCUCGGACCGAGUGAGCUUUCUCUUCUCAAUUACUUGGAACACAAAGUUCCCACAAGGACCACCACAAGUUUGGUGUCUCUUGCCUCAAUUACAAGUGAGUUUGAUUGCGAUGAAAGAAUCAAGAAAGCACGAUUGAAAAAGGCCAAGCGACAAGAGCGACAAAUAACACACGGAUCACUUUCUCUCUCAAGCCACUAAUCACUAAUGAUCUCUUUUCUCAAUUGUGAAACUUGGAGAGAUGGAGGCUUUGAAUGUGUCUUGGAAUGGAUUGCUAGCUCUUGUAUUGAAUGUUGAAGGUUGGAAUGCUUGGAUGAAGUGAAUGGAGGUGGUUGGGGUUGUAUUUAUAGCCACCAACCACUUCCUAGCCGUUGGGCCAUUCUGCUGAGCGCGGACGGUCCGCCCUCCUGGUGCGGACGGUCCGCCCCUAUAGAUCAACGGCUGAAAAUGCAACGGUCAGCAGUAACGGCUAUAUCAACGGCUAUAUUGCAUUUAAUGCGUUGUCAGAUGUCAGACAGAGCCAGUCGCGGACGGUCCGGUCGUGCACCCCGGACGGUCCGCGAGGCCCCUUAUAAUUCAUUUCUCCGAACCCGUUACCUUCGGGUUUUUCGGUUUCUUACCGACCGGACGGUCCGCGCCUAAGGUCGGACGGUCCGCGCGAGGGCUCGGACGGUUCUUUGCUUUUCCUUCGGACAGUCCGUAAUGGAAACUUGUAUUUUUGCAUUGGUUCUGUCCGAGAGUCAUUCUAGUGUUGCGGACGGUCCGCCGCAAGGGCCCGGACGGUCCGCGCUUGGCCUGUUUUUCCAAGAAGCUUCUCCUGUCCGGAAUAAUCUACGGUAUUCCGGACAGUCGAUUUAGCAUAGUUAUAGAUGAACUUUUGGCACCUGUAAAACAUAUAAUCUAGAGCAAACUAGUUAGUCCAAUUGUUUGUGUUGGGCGAUUCAACCACCAAAACUAUUUAGGAACUAGGUGUAAGCCUAAUUCCCUUUCACAAACAGUGUCGGAGGGUUGUUUAUCAAUCUGUUUAUUAUCCUCGUUCUUCUCCACCCCAGUUGUCUAGCUCUCCUCAGUCAUGUGAAAAACAAGCUGUCAUUCCUUUCAUUCCACAUGAGCCGGAUGCCCCAGACAUUCGUUCUAAAGAUAUUUCAGACAAUGUUAAUUCAUGUGAGAAUUGUGGUAAGUCAGGGCACUCUACACAAGAUUGUCGCAUUCCUAAGCUAGUGAAUGAGCGGUUGUCGCUCGUGAAUCUCCCUCGAGGUAACCAGUGAAAAGCGAGGAAGAAUGAGGUUGUUCUUAAACUGGGUCAAGUUCAUUAUACUAAGAUCAAAGCUAUUCCUGAGUGUGAACCGGUUAUGAUGGGUACUUUCCCGGUCGCCAAUCGUUUAGCUAGUAUCCUGUUUGAUUCUGGUGGUUCCCAUACCUUCAUAAAUCGGAUGUUUGUAUUAAAGCACCAAUUGUCUUUGGAGGUAGUAGAGAAUGGGUAUUGUAUACAAUCUUCUGGAGGACGCUUGCAUACUAAAGAAAUGGUAUAUCAGAUACCCAUAAAGCUAGGUGGUCACAUGUUUCCUACCAACAUUCUAGUUCUUCCAAAUCAAUAUAUAGAUGUUAUCCUUGGCAUGAAUUGGCUUAGUCAACAUGGGGCGGUAAUCAACGCUCUAUAACGGACAAUACAAUUGGAUUCGCCUAACGGUAACUACAAGUUGCUGAUCCGAUUAUCGACACCUAAGAGAGCAGUGGAGAGAGUGUGUGCUAUCACUGUUAAAGAAGUAAAGGAUAUACCUGUUGUCAAGGAAUUUCCAGAUGUGUUUCCUGAAGAUUUGCCUGGUUUGCCUCCAGAAAGGGACGUGGAAUUCGUGAUUGAAUUGCAGCCGGGUACUGCACCCAUAUCUAGAAGGUCAUACAGAAUGGCACCCAAGGAGUUAGCAGAACUGAAGACUCAAUUGCAGGACUUGCUCAACAAAGGGUUCAUUCGCCCAAGUUCAUCACCUUGGGGCUGUCCUGCCAUCUUUGUGAAAAAGAAGGAUCAAACACUCCGGUUAUGUGUUGAUUACCGGCCACUUAACGAGGUGACCAUCAAAAACAAAUAUCCUCUCCCUCGUAUUGAUUUGUUGUUUGAUCAACUUUCUGGAGCUAAAGUGUUUUCUAAGAUUGACCUUAGAUCGGGUUAUCACCAGAUAAGAAUUCGUCAUGAAGAUGUUCCCAAGACUGCUUUCACUACCCGAUACGGUCUCUAUGAAUAUUUGGUUAUGUCCUUUGGUCUAACCAAUGCUCCAGCUCAUUUCAUGUACUUAAUGAACUCGAUGUUCAUGCCCGAGCUUGACAAGUUUGUGGUGGUCUUUAUUGAUGACAUCUUGAUAUACUCGAAGACCAAAGAAGAUCAUGCAGAGCACUUGCGUAUCGUUCUAACAAGAUUACGAGAACACCAACUUUAUGCCAAAUUCAGCAAGUGUGAAUUUUGGUUGGAUACCAUUCCGUUCUUGGGUCAUAUCUUGUCUGCCGAAGGUGCUGCAGUCGACCCAAGUAAAGUCAAGGACAUUCUGGAAUGGAAGCCACCCACCACAGUGCAUCAAGUCCGAAGUUUCCUUGGAAUGGCGGGGUAUUACCGUCGUUUUAUUCCAGAUUUCUCCAAGAUAGCUAAGCCUAUUACUGAGUUGCUCAAGAAUCAUAUCAAAUUUGUGUGGUCAUCUGAGUGCAACAAAGCUUUUGAAGAACUAAAAAAGUUGUUGACUACCGCACCAGUAUUGGCGCAGCCUGAUAUUGAGAAAUCCUUUGAUGUUUAUUGUGAUGCUUCGGGCAUUGGCAUAGGGUGUGUACUUAUGCAAGAAGGUCGUGCGAUUUCUUAUGCAUCACGACAACUCAAGCGUCAUGAAGAGCAUUACCCAACCCAUGAUCUUGAACUUGCUGCUGUUGUUCAUGCACUCAAGAUCUGGCGCCAUUAUUUGCUGGGUAAUACGUGUCACAUAUAUACUGACCAUAAAAGUCUAAAGUACAUUUUUACACAGUCUGAACUGAAUAUGAGGCAAAGAAGAUGGCUUGAGUUGAUCAAGGACUAUGAUUUAGAAGUCCAUUACCAUCCUGGCAAAGCUAAUGUCGUGGCAGAUGCUCUAAGCCGGAAGCCUCAAUGUAAUUGUCUUUCGGUGAGGCCUUUAACUGUCACCCUAUGUCAGGAAAUGGAAAGGUUGAAUUUAGGGAUAAUUCAGCAUGGAACCUUAACCAAUCUUGUUCUUGAAUCAACUAUCCAAAGCCAAAUCAUUGAAGCUCAAAAGGUGAAUAAGGGUAUAGCUCAUAUCAAGGAACGAGUUGAAGCAGGAAAGGCUACAUGUUUUAGAAUCGACGAAAAUGGUAUCCUUUGGUUCAAACACCGUUUGGUAGUUCCAAAGGUACCUGAAUUACGACAACAAAUACUAGACGAAGCUCAUUUGUCUCGGUAUUCCAUUCACCUAGGAAGCAAUAAGAUGUAUCAAGAUCUGAAGCAAAGGUUUUGGUGGACCAAGAUGAAGAUAGAAAUUGCUCGGUAUGUGGCUAAAUAUGACAUUUGUCAACGUGUGAAAGCCGUUCAUUUGAAAUCUGUCGGGCCGUUACAACCUUUGCCCAUUCCUGCCUGGAAAUGGGAAGAUAUCAGCAUGGACUUCAUUGUUGGUUUACCCAAAACAUCAAAAGGGUAUGACUCUAUCUGGGUGAUUGUGGAUCGUCUCACCAAGUUGGCUCAUUUCCUGCCAGUAAACAAAAGCAACUCAGUACUUGCAUAUGCUAAGUUGUAUAUCGCUCGUAUUCUGAAUUCGCAUGGUAUACCCAAGACCAUUGUAUCGGAUCGGGGUCCGCAAUUUGUUGCCAAGUUUUGGGCAGAGUUGCACAAAUCUUUAGGUACCAAGCUAAUUCACAGUUCAACUUAUCAUCCGCAAACCAGUGGUCAAACUGAGAGGGUGAAUCAGAUCCUAGAAGAUAUGUUAAGAGCUUGUGUUCUCGCUUACUCUGCUAAGUGGGAUGAAUGCUUGCCAUUGGCUGAGUUCUCGUAUAAUAAUAGUUAUCAAGAAAGUAUAAAGAUGGCACCUUUUGAAGCGUUAUAUGGUCGAAGGUGUAGAACUCCUCUGAAUUGGUCCGAACCAGGUGAAAGGUGUUUCUUUGGGCCAGAUUUGGUAAAGGAAGCAGAAGAAAAGGUCAAACUGAUUCAGCAUCACUUGAAGAUAGCUCAACAUCGCCAAAAGUGUUAUGCCGAUAAGAGACGUCGAUCUUUGAUUUUCCAUGUCGGUGAUCAUGUGUAUUUAAAAGUGUCACCAAUGAAGGGCGUGGCUCAAUUUGGUGUCAAAGGGAAACUUGCACCUCGCUAUGUUGGUCCAUUUCCAGUGUUUGAACGUUGUGGACAUGUGGCUUAUAAGGUGCAAUUGCCAGAGAAUCUUUCAACAGUGCAUAACGUGUUUCACGUAUCUCAGUUGAAGAAAUGUCUUCGAGUCCCCGAACAAGUAGUUGAGGUUUCAGAUGUUAACCUUGAACCUGAUCUAACUUACUUUGAGUAUCCUAUUCGGGUUCUGGAUCAAAAAGAUCGGGACACGAAGAAAGAUUAUCAAGUUCUACAAAAUACAAUGGAACCAACACUCCGAAGAUGAGGCUACCUGGGAAUCAGAAGACUAUCUUAUGGAGCAUUUUCCUCAGUUUUUAGAUUCCUGUAAAUAUUAAGCCUUGUGUAUUUUGUCUUUGAUGUAAACCCACAGGGGCACACCCCUGCCUUGUAAGAAUAAAGGUAGAAUAAGAUCGUGACGCGUUUCCUUUUCCAUUACUUAGCCUGGAGUUUUAAUCUCGGGACGAGAUUCCUUUUUAGGGGGGGAAGGAUGUAACACCCCUGGUGUUACGAGAACUAAAAUUUUGGCAUCUCAUCAUAUGCAUUAGCAUCAUCUAGCUUGAUACACCUAGAAUGCAUUUUAAUAGGUCCAAAAUUUCAAUUGAAA